ACUAAGAGCCGAUGAAAGACGUGAUAAGCUGCGAAAAGCUUCGGGGAGGAGCACAUAUCCAAUGAUCCGGAGAUAUCUGAAUGGGGAAACCCGGCAGAGGAAACCUCUGUCAGCGUGCAGUGAAUACAUAGCUGUACGUGGGGAACCCGGGGAACUGAAACAUCUAAGUACCCGGAGGAAGAGAAAGAAAAUUUAUCGAUUUCCAAAGUAGCGGCGAGCGAAAUGGAAAGAGCCCAAACCGUGAUGCGUGCAUCGCGGGGUUCGGACUGCGUUGUGGCAGACGUAAGAUAGGAGAACGGACUGGGAAGUCCGGCCGGAGAGAGUGAAAGCCUCGUAUCCGAAAUCCCAAGUCGCCUAGCAGGAUCCAGAGUAGGACGAGACACGAGAAACCUUGUCUGAACGAGCGGGGACCACCCCGUAAGGCUAAAUACUUCUUAGUGACCGAUAGCGCAUAGUACUGUGAAGGAAAGGUGAAAAGUACCCCGGGAGGGGAGUGAAAGAGAACCUGAAACCCUGUGUCUACAAGCUGUGGGACCUCUUUAUAUGAGGGACUGCGUACUUUUUGUAGAACGGUCCGGCGAGUUGUGCGUACUGGCGAGGUUAAGGACUUAAGGUCUGGAGCCGAAGUGAAAGCAAGCGUUAAUAGCGCGUCAAGUCAGUGAGUGCAGACCCGAAACCGGGUGACCUAUCCAUGUCCAGGUUGAAGCUUCCGUAAGAGGAAGUGGAGGACCGAACCCACAUCCGUUGAAAAGGGUGGGGAUGAGGUGUGGAUAGCGGAGAAAUUCCAAUCGAACCCGGAGAUAGCUGGUUCUCCUCGAAAUAGCUUUAGGGCUAGCCUCAUGAGAGUCUUAUGGAGGUAGAGCACUGAAUUGCCUAGGGGGCGUCAAAGCUUACCAAAGCAUAUCAAACUCCGAAUGCCAUCAAGAUGAUUCAUGGGAGUCAGACCAUACGAGAUAAGUUGGAUGGUCAAAAGGGAAAGAGCCCAGACCUACAGCUAAGGUCCCAAAGUACGUGUUAAGUGGAAAAGGAUGUGGGGAUUCUAAGACAACUAGGACGUUGGCUUAGAAGCAGCCAUUCAUUGAAAGAGUGCGUAAUAGCUCACUAGUCGAGAGUCCCUGCGCCGAAAAUGUCCGGGGCUGAAACACGACACCGAAGCUUAGGAAUGUGUAAACAUUGGUAGAGGAGCAUUGCUGGCGGGAUGAAGCCAUACCGUAAGGAGUGGUGGACUGCUAGGAAGAGAGAAUGCCGGAAUGAGUAGCGAGAUGAAGGUGAGAAUCCUUCAGGCCGAAUAUCUAAGGUUUCCAGAGUAAAGCUGAUCUGCUCUGGGUAAGUCGGGGCCUAAGGCGAGGUCGAAAGACGUAGUCGAUGGAUAACAGGUUGAAAUUCCUGUACCGCAUAUAAACAGAACUGUGGGGACACAGACAGGGAAUGGAAUCCGGGAGUGGAAAUCCCGGUGCAAGCGAGGUAGGAGUGCUGUUGGCAAAUCCGCAGCACGAUCUGAAGACGUGACGCGUACCGAACAUAAGUAGGGAAGUCCAGGCCCCUGGCUGUCAAGAAAAGCCGCUAUCGUUUUAUAUGUGCCCGUACCGCAAACCGACACAGGUGGAUGAGGAGAGAAUCCUAAGGCCGACGGGAGAAGUAUUGUUAAGGAACUCGGCAAAAUGACUCCGUAACUUCGGGAGAAGGAGUGCCAUGUAAAAGUGGCCGCAGAGAAUUGGCCCAAGCAACUGUUUAGCAAAAACACAGGUCUAUGCAAAACCGAAAGGUGAGGUAUAUGGGCUGACGCCUGCCCGGUGCUGGAAGGUUAAGGGGAGAGGUUAGCGCAAGCGAAGCUUUGAACUUAAGCCCCAGUAAACGGCGGCCGUAACUAUAACGGUCCUAAGGUAGCGAAAUUCCUUGUCGGGUAAGUUCCGACCCGCACGAAAGGCGUAAUGAUUUGGGCACUGUCUCAACAAUGCACCCGGUGAAAUUGAAAUACCAGUGAAGAUGCUGGUUACCUGCGCCAGGACGGAAAGACCCCAUGGAGCUUUACUCCAGCUUGAUACUGGGAUUCGGUAUUGCAUGUACAGGAUAGGUGGGAGACUAAGAACUGAUGACGCCAGUUGUCAGGGAGUCACUGUUGGGAUACCACCCUUGUAGUAUUGGAUUUCUAACCAGCAGCCGUGAACCGGCUGGGGGACAAUGUCAGGUGGGGAGUUUGACUGGGGCGGUCGCCUCCGAAAGGGUAUCGGAGGCGCUCAAAGGU
Molecule: ribosomal RNA, 2245 nt
Filed under: human gut metagenome
Description: bacterial LSU rRNA
Rfam family: Bacterial large subunit ribosomal RNA
Source: RNAcentral